Molecule: small nuclear RNA, 19 nt
Filed under: Arabidopsis thaliana (thale cress)
Lineage: Eukaryota; Viridiplantae; Streptophyta; Magnoliopsida; Brassicales; Brassicaceae
Description: snRNA_13388
Source: RNAcentral
UCAGGUCUCCAAGGUGAAC